UCUCAACCACCGAAACUUUCUCGUGUAUCCGUUACUCACUUCAUUUUUAAUGCAGUUUUGUAAAAAUUUCUGCGAUUCAGUGUGGGUUAUACUUAUUUAUACUAGUUUUUUCAGAUAAGCUGGAAAGACCACCAUUAAUCACUGAAGAUACUCCCACUGAUUAUGAAGAACUUACGGUGAUUGUUUUUGAAAAUAAGGCGCCAUAAAAUAUUGCAAAGAUUUGAAACAAAUACAAAACACAUGUGCGAAACGAAAGAAAUGCUAAAGGAAACGAGUGAAAAAAUCUCCAACAUGGAAAAGUCAUCAAAUCGGACAACUGAAAAAAAAAACAAAAAUAGAAGUUACGCCGCCAAGACCACACCUAAACAAAUUUUGACGAAUUACAAGAUUAUCUUUGCCUAUUAGAACAAGCAGAUUUCUUUGUAAGUUAAAAAAAUACAAUGAAUUCCAAUUCAUGUAUACAUAUAACAUAAUUUGGAUAUUAUAUACAAUACUACGAUACUUUUUGUUAACUUACUAGUUAUACAUGGCACCUUUCGCUUCAUUGUAAAAAGUAUUGACAACGAGAUUUUCCUGAUAGGCUAUACGUUUUUGUCAAUGCAACCAUUUUACGAUUAUCCGUUAGAUUCAAGUAAAUUUAGCAUUUUUAAAAUGCAGAAUUUGUCUUCUGCUUUAAGCUGUAAUCCCUUAAAUUUAAUAAUAGCCAAAUGCUUGCUAUUGCCCAUACACGAAAAAAUGAUUGUAUUUCCAUUAAUCCAUGCACUCUAACGGGUUUUUCUUUUCAGUGCAAUAAAUUGAGGCAAACUUAAAAAACUUAGGUUAUUAAUAUUAUUGUUAAAACAGAAUUAAUUUUUAACGGUACUUUUUUGUGUGUUGGGGACAGUCAAGUCGUCGUGAAUUAGAAAGUUUUACAGUGCAUUUUCAAAUCAAGUAACUUCAACAAUGCGAUUCAAUUGUCUUUUCCCUUUAUUCUAGUUUUUUUUAUAUUUUUUGUAAAUAGAUUUGUUUGUGUUUU
This is a long non-coding RNA of Zophobas morio, 1015 nucleotides long. RefSeq lists it as uncharacterized. The record is from RefSeq and is a predicted model, not a curated record. NCBI's taxonomy places the organism in Eukaryota, Metazoa, Arthropoda, Insecta, Coleoptera, Tenebrionidae. The transcript is spliced from 3 exons.